RNAcentral lists this unclassified non-coding RNA (462 nucleotides) under Hevea brasiliensis (rubber tree). Lineage: Eukaryota; Viridiplantae; Streptophyta; Magnoliopsida; Malpighiales; Euphorbiaceae. The record is from RNAcentral.
UUCUUAAUAAUCCAUGAUUCAAUCUGCUGGUAAGCUAAAACUAGAAGGAUGUUAAGGUAAUAGUUGGUAUCAGCAUCUGAUGCAAAUAGGUCUUUUAGAUUUAUCAAAUUCUUCUCAUGAGCUUCCUCUUUGACAGACAAGAGCAACUCAGUAAGUUUGGUCUUGAUGGAUCUGCCUAUGCAACUGAAGACAAGGCUGUAGAUGAUCGCACAGUUGGCCAUAAUCCAGAGAGGUUAAGUUUGUUGAAAGGUGGUAUAGUAUACAGCAAUGCUAUAGUUACAGUUUCACCAACCUAUCUCAAGGAGACACUCUGUUCUGGAUGGCUUUCUGGUGCUUUGAUGAGAAACCGUGAUAAGUAUUCUGGCAUUUUAAAUGGGAUCGAUACUGAAAUGUGGAAUCCAGCAACAGAUAUUUAUUUGCCUGCUAAAUUUGAUGGUAACUGUUUAUGUAAUGUUGUAAAAG